GACGAACGCUGGCGGCGUGCUUAACACAUGCAAGUCGAACGGAAAGGCCCUGCUUUUGUGGUGUGCUCGAGUGGCGAACGGGUGAGUAACACGUGAGUAACCUGCCCUUGACUUUGGGAUAACUUCAGGAAACUGGGGCUAAUACCGGAUAGGAGCUCCUGCUGCAUGGUGGGGGUUGGAAAGUUUCGGCGGUUGGGGAUGGACUCGCGGCUUAUCAGCUUGUUGGUGGGGUAGUGGCUUACCAAGGCUUUGACGGGUCGCCGGCCUGAGAGGGUGACCGGCCACAUUGGGACUGAGAUACGGCCCAGACUCCUACGGGAGGCAGCAGUGGGGAAUAUUGCACAAUGGGCGGAAGCCUGAUGCAGCAACGCCGCGUGCGGGAUGACGGCCUUCGGGUUGUAAACCGCUUUCGCCUGUGACGAAGCGUUAGUGACGGUAAUGGGUAAAGAAGCACCGGCUAACUACGUG
RNAcentral lists this ribosomal RNA (468 nucleotides) under uncultured bacterium. Its description in RNAcentral is "partial 16S ribosomal RNA". It matches the Rfam family "Bacterial small subunit ribosomal RNA", at positions 28 to 507 of the family's 1533-position model. The record is from RNAcentral.